RNAcentral lists this ribosomal RNA (398 nucleotides) under uncultured bacterium. RNAcentral describes it as "bacterial SSU rRNA". It matches the Rfam family "Bacterial small subunit ribosomal RNA", at positions 97 to 520 of the family's 1533-position model. The record is from RNAcentral.
GGCGCACGGGUGCGUAACGCGUGGGAAUCUGCCCUUAGGUUCGGAAUAACAGCGGGAAACUGCUGCUAAUACCGGAUGAUGACUUCGGUCCAAAGAUUUAUCGCCUAGGGAUGAGCCCGCGUAAGAUUAGCUAGUUGGUGGGGUAAAGGCCUACCAAGGGCUACGAUCUUUAGCUGGUCUGAGAGGAUGAUCAGCCACACUGGGACUGAGACACGGUCCAACACCUCAUACGGGAGGCAGCAGUGGGGAAUAUUGGACAAUGGGCGAAAGCCUGAUCCAGCAAUGCCGCGUGAGUGAUGAAGGCCUUAGGGUUGUAAAUGCUCUUUUAGCCCGGGGAUGAUAAUUGACGGUACCCGGGAGAAUAUGCUCCGGCUUAACUCCGUGCCUAGCCGCCGCGG